UUAAGCGACUAAGCGUACACGGUGGAUGCCCUGGCAGUCAGAGGCGAUGAAGGACGUGCUAAUCUGCGAUAAGCGUCGGUGAGGUGAUAUGAACCGUUAUAACCGGCGAUUUCCGAAUGGGGAAACCCAGUGUGUUUCGACACACUAUCAUUAACUGAAUCCAUAGGUUAAUGAGGCGAACCGGGGGAACUGAAACAUCUAAGUACCCCGAGGAAAAGAAAUCAACCGAGAUUCCCCCAGUAGCGGCGAGCGAACGGGGAGGAGCCCAGAGCCUGAAUCAGUGUGUGUGUUAGUGGAAGCGUCUGGAAAGGCGCGCGAUACAGGGUGACAGCCCCGUACACAAAAAUGCACAUAUUGUGAGCUCGAUGAGUAGGGCGGGACACGUGGUAUCCUGUCUGAAUAUGGGGGGACCAUCCUCCAAGGCUAAAUACUCCUGACUGACCGAUAGUGAACCAGUACCGUGAGGGAAAGGCGAAAAGAACCCCGGCGAGGGGAGUGAAAAAGAACCUGAAACCGUGUACGUACAAGCAGUGGGAGCCUCUUUAUGGGGUGACUGCGUACCUUUUGUAUAAUGGGUCAGCGACUUAUAUUCUGUAGCAAGGUUAACCGAAUAGGGGAGCCGAAGGGAAACCGAGUCUUAACUGGGCGUUAAGUUGCAGGGUAUAGACCCGAAACCCGGUGAUCUAGCCAUGGGCAGGUUGAAGGUUGGGUAACACUAACUGGAGGACCGAACCGACUAAUGUUGAAAAAUUAGCGGAUGACUUGUGGCUGGGGGUGAAAGGCCAAUCAAACCGGGAGAUAGCUGGUUCUCCCCGAAAGCUAUUUAGGUAGCGCCUCGUGAAUUCAUCUCCGGGGGUAGAGCACUGUUUCGGCAAGGGGGUCAUCCCGACUUACCAACCCGAUGCAAACUGCGAAUACCGGAGAAUGUUAUCACGGGAGACACACGGCGGGUGCUAACGUCCGUCGUGAAGAGGGAAACAACCCAGACCGCCAGCUAAGGUCCCAAAGUCAUGGUUAAGUGGGAAACGAUGUGGGAAGGCCCAGACAGCCAGGAUGUUGGCUUAGAAGCAGCCAUCAUUUAAAGAAAGCGUAAUAGCUCACUGGUCGAGUCGGCCUGCGCGGAAGAUGUAACGGGGCUAAACCAUGCACCGAAGCUGCGGCAGCGACACUAUGUGUUGUUGGGUAGGGGAGCGUUCUGUAAGCCUGUGAAGGUGGCCUGUGAGGGUUGCUGGAGGUAUCAGAAGUGCGAAUGCUGACAUAAGUAACGAUAAAGCGGGUGAAAAGCCCGCUCGCCGGAAGACCAAGGGUUCCUGUCCAACGUUAAUCGGGGCAGGGUGAGUCGACCCCUAAGGCGAGGCCGAAAGGCGUAGUCGAUGGGAAACAGGUUAAUAUUCCUGUACUUGGUGUUACUGCGAAGGGGGGACGGAGAAGGCUAUGUUGGCCGGGCGACGGUUGUCCCGGUUUAAGCGUGUAGGCUGGUUUUCCAGGCAAAUCCGGAAAACCAAGGCUGAGGCGUGAUGACGAGGCACUACGGUGCUGAAGCGACAAAUGCCCUGCUUCCAGGAAAAGCCUCUAAGCAUCAGGUAACAUCAAAUCGUACCCCAAACCGACACAGGUGGUCAGGUAGAGAAUACCAAGGCGCUUGAGAGAACUCGGGUGAAGGAACUAGGCAAAAUGGUGCCGUAACUUCGGGAGAAGGCACGCUGAUAUGUAGGUGAAGCGACUUGCUCGUGGAGCUGAAAUCAGUCGAAGAUACCAGCUGGCUGCAACUGUUUAUUAAAAACACAGCACUGUGCAAACACGAAAGUGGACGUAUACGGUGUGACGCCUGCCCGGUGCCGGAAGGUUAAUUGAUGGGGUUAGCGGUAACGCGAAGCUCUUGAUCGAAGCCCCGGUAAACGGCGGCCGUAACUAUAACGGUCCUAAGGUAGCGAAAUUCCUUGUCGGGUAAGUUCCGACCUGCACGAAUGGCGUAAUGAUGGCCAGGCUGUCUCCACCCGAGACUCAGUGAAAUUGAACUCGCUGUGAAGAUGCAGUGUACCCGCGGCAAGACGGAAAGACCCCGUGAACCUUUACUAUAGCUUGACACUGAACAUUGAGCCUUGAUGUGUAGGAUAGGUGGGAGGCUUUGAAGUGUGGACGCCAGUCUGCAUGGAGCCGACCUUGAAAUACCACCCUUUAAUGUUUGAUGUUCUAACGUUGGCCCGUAAUCCGGGUUGCGGACAGUGUCUGGUGGGUAGUUUGACUGGGGCGGUCUCCUCCUAAAGAGUAACGGAGGAGCACGAAGGUUGGCUAAUCCUGGUCGGACAUCAGGAGGUUAGUGCAAUGGCAUAAGCCAGCUUGACUGCGAGCGUGACGGCGCGAGCAGGUGCGAAAGCAGGUCAUAGUGAUCCGGUGGUUCUGAAUGGAAGGGCCAUCGCUCAACGGAUAAAAGGUACUCCGGGGAUAACAGGCUGAUACCGCCCAAGAGUUCAUAUCGACGGCGGUGUUUGGCACCUCGAUGUCGGCUCAUCACAUCCUGGGGCUGAAGUAGGUCCCAAGGGUAUGGCUGUUCGCCAUUUAAAGUGGUACGCGAGCUGGGUUUAGAACGUCGUGAGACAGUUCGGUCCCUAUCUGCCGUGGGCGCUGGAGAACUGAGGGGGGCUGCUCCUAGUACGAGAGGACCGGAGUGGACGCAUCACUGGUGUUCGGGUUGUCAUGCCAAUGGCACUGCCCGGUAGCUAAAUGCGGAAGAGAUAAGUGCUGAAAGCAUCUAAGCACGAAACUUGCCCCGAGAUGAGUUCUCCCUGA
This 2790-nucleotide ribosomal RNA is filed under the name Escherichia coli. RNAcentral describes it as "bacterial LSU rRNA". It matches the Rfam family "Bacterial large subunit ribosomal RNA". RNAcentral also lists the same sequence under 1 other name. The record is from RNAcentral. Lineage: Bacteria; Pseudomonadati; Pseudomonadota; Gammaproteobacteria; Enterobacterales; Enterobacteriaceae.